Molecule: unclassified non-coding RNA, 404 nt
Filed under: Hevea brasiliensis (rubber tree)
Lineage: Eukaryota; Viridiplantae; Streptophyta; Magnoliopsida; Malpighiales; Euphorbiaceae
Source: RNAcentral
GUUUGGAUUUAUUUAGCCAAUAGGCCAAUUUGUUUUGAAUGCUUUGAUUUAAUGAAACAAGCAUUAGUUAAAUGCUUUUAAUGGUAUUAGUAUAAUUUAUUAAAAUGUUGGCUGUAGUAAUGAUUUAGUUUUUUUCUCUUUAGUUUUAGCACAUUGCAAAUUUAUAAUAUUGGAACUUUAGAUUAUUGUUGAAUUGUUAUAGUGAAGAAAUUAAAGUUUAAUGUGUAUGUUAUCAAAUAUUUUAGAUUUUUAUUGCAUAUUUCAAAUCUUGAUAGAUUUUAUUAAAAAUGGAUUAUUUAGGACAAUAAAUAAUUUCUUAUUAACCUACAACAUCCGAAUCUUCAAAUCCCCGAACUGAAAUAUCUAGAAUUUUCAGGACAAUACAGGAUGGAGUUCUGAUGUCA